Molecule: long non-coding RNA, 764 nt
Filed under: Numida meleagris (helmeted guineafowl)
Lineage: Eukaryota; Metazoa; Chordata; Aves; Galliformes; Numididae
Description: lncRNA (ENSNMEG00000004580.1)
Source: RNAcentral
AUGCAGCUGCAUUUGGAAGACGUUACACAGAUAUGUGGCUUCAACUGCGUUGUGUGGUAUGAGGGAUCAUUAAAGAUGUUUUAUUUCUCCAGGAUAGACCGUGAUCCAGGAAGGAAUCUUCCCAGUGAGGUAAGAUUUAAUAACUGUACAGCAUCGGAGGCUCGCUUGCUAUCACACAGGCUGGUAAAUGCAGUGCCACCCUCAGGCACGGCUGCAAAAUUCUCUCUUCAGAAAGGCGGUGGACAAACUGGAUAGAUCUGCUGUGUUUCUGCCUGCCAGGCGAGGAUGUCUCGAGGAGGAAGGCAAGUGAACUAUGAGUUAGGACAGCAGGGCUGGGAGAGCUGUCAAGUUCAACACGGCAUAUGGCUUAAAAUGGGAGCUUUGGGGAGCUUUGGUAUUUAUGAAUCAGCGUAAUUUGAUUAUGCUACUGUAGAAGUCCAUUCCUUUCCUUCCUAGCAGUAGUUUAAAAACAAUUGCUUAUCAUAUGAUAUCUUUGAGUACCAGUUCAGGAAUGCCACGAGGCACCACUAAAGCACAACAUCUUGUUGCUGAGUUAUCACAUAAGGAUGACAUAACCAAGAGCACUGGAUGUAAAGUGAACGCGAGAUGUUUCAGGAUGCAAGGCAGUGGCGUCUAAUUGGAUCAGAGAAAAUUCAGCUUAGAUGUGAACAAAAAACAUUUUUACUUUGAGUGUGGUCAAACACUGGAACAGAUUACCUAGGGAGACUGUGGAAUAAAAAAUAUUCUAAUCUGGGUUAGAAACA